UUUAUGACAGUUGGUUCAACAGGUUGAUCGUCAGGAUUAAAUAUUAAUUUCCGUGUCAGAGAAUCAGGAGCAGCAGGAGUCGGUCUGUUCUCACACUGAAGAUCCAAACUGAACCAGAAACCACUGAGUUCUGAACUCAACUGAACUUGGUGGCCACUCUUGGCGGCGGGCUGACUGACUCAAAUCUCUUUCUUUACUGGAAGUUCUUUCAUCGAGACGCAACAAAUGUCACACCUGGAACUCAACUAACAUGUUCAAGCAUGUCGCUCGGGUGUGUUUCUUACUGCUGCUGUUGGUCAAAAGCACAGGGCCAGUCCAGACAAACAUCUCAGCUACUGAAAGACAAGAUGCCACUCUGCCAUGUAAAGCUGCAAACAACAAGAACAUCUUGGCCGUAUCCUGGACCAGACCGGACCUGAAGGAGAACCAGCUUGUUUUCUUCUACAGAGACGGAUACUUUGAGCCAGAUAAUCAUCCUUCUUAUAAGAACCGAGUGGAGCUGAAGGACAGAACGAUGAAGGACGGAGACGUGAGUCUGAUUCUGAAGAAAGUGACCUUCAAUGACAGUGGGACAUACAAGUGUUUGACUGUCCAGAGAGGAGAAAACAACAAUAACUCUGAGUCCCACAGCUUCAUCUCUCUCUCAGUGGUUCCUUCUCGAGGAGACCCAGAAGGACAAGGAUGGGAAGGAGGGAGAGAGGAUGAAGGGGGAAAGGAUGGAGGGGGAGGGCAUGUUGGUCUGAGUGCUGGUCUGCUCUGGUUGUUGUUGGCGCUAUUUUUGGUGUGAUGUUUCUAAGACACCAGAAGAAGAAGAAGAACUCUCCUCCUCCUGCUGCUGCUGCUCCAGAACAAGAUACAAUGUUGCGUCAGGUUAACACUUAGAGACACACUAGAGUCUCUCCUGACUCUCCUCUCCUCCACGUUAGAAAAUAUUCUCAUGUUGGAUCUUUAAAACUGGACCUGCUGUUCACUGUGAUGAGAAACAUGUUUCUCAGUCUGGGGGCGGAAUUCAGGAGAACUGCUGCACAUAAAGCUUUUUUGUUUUAACUCAUUUUACUUCGUUUUUGUUCCUGGAAACACAGAUUUUAAAUUGAUCAGAAAAUCUUUCCAGAUGUAACACUUGUUCACUGAUUUUGGUAUAGUUGCCUUUUUAUAAUCCAGUUUGUUUUGUGUCUUGACAUUUUAGAAAUGAAGAUCAAAAAAUAAAAAAUGUGAAAAAAUAAGUAUACGAGUGCAGCUCAAGACCAACAUUAAAAAAAAAAAAAAGUUUUUUUUUUUUUUUAACAACGUGAUGAGUUGCAGAUCAUCCGCACCAUCCCGGUUCAGCUUCUCAGUAUUAAUAUGAGAUUCUAUUAAACUCCAGGCUCAAUAACACAAUAAAUGUUCAGAUCAAAUACUGUAUGUCUGGCAGCUGCAUGACUGCUGUAUUUCUGCACUAUUAGCGGACUGACUCUUGAGUGCUGUUCAGGACUGACGCGACUGUUUCAUCUAGUAUUCUUCAUAUUAUGCAUGUCUAUGUUUAGGUACAGUGCGUCUGUGUAAACAGGUGUGUAAAAGAUGUAUUGUGUAACAAAAAAACAAGUAUUAGUCUGCCUGCAUGCCUCUUUUCCUUUUUUGUUUUGAACGAGAGACACCUGGCACCAGUGAAGGAUGUGUGUAGAGUUGGACGGUACCUUGCAUUGGUGUGUGAUGUACAGAGAGUUUGAAGGUCCUGGUCAGUACGACUAGGAGGAGGUCAAGGAACGGAUGUCAUAAAAAAAAGACAAAAGAACCAACAGGUUCGUAGCUGUGCCACACCUGGGAGUACCCGGUCACGGCAGAGUGUCGCACAGUCAAAAAGAGAAAAAACUGAGAUGCUGCUGUGUUUCCAGAAACGGUAUAAAAGGGCAGAGAUGAGAAUGUGUUUCUGCAUCAGUCUCAGACGGUCAGCAGGCUG
This is a long non-coding RNA of Salarias fasciatus (jewelled blenny), 1936 nucleotides long. RefSeq lists it as uncharacterized. The transcript is spliced from 3 exons. NCBI's taxonomy places the organism in Eukaryota, Metazoa, Chordata, Actinopteri, Blenniiformes, Blenniidae. The record is from RefSeq and is a predicted model, not a curated record.